AGUGAACGCUGGCGGUAGGCCUAACACAUGCAAGUCGAACGGCAGCACAGUAAUACCUUGCUCGUACGGGUGGCGAGGGGCGGAGGGGUGGGGAAUAAAACGGAAUCUACUUUUUCGUGGGGGGGAACGAAGGGAAACUUACGCUAAUACCUUAUACGACGGACGGGUGAAAGCAGGCGAUCUUCGGAAAUUGCGCGAUUGAGUGAGCCGAUGUCGGAUUGGCUAGUCGGCGGGGUAAAGGCCCACCAGGGCGACGAGCCGUAGCUGGUCAGAGGGGAUGAACAGCCACACUGGACCUUAGACACGGUCCACAGCCCUAAGGGAGGCAGCAGUGGGGAAUAUUGGACAAUGGGCGAAAGCCGGAUGCAGCAAGCCCGCAUGGGUGGAGAAGGACUUCGGGUUUUAAAGUCCUUUUUUUGUGAAAGAAAAACAGAGGGUUCUUACCCCGAUGUUCUGACGGUACCCAAUAGAUAAGCAACGGCUAACUUCGUG
RNAcentral lists this ribosomal RNA (492 nucleotides) under uncultured bacterium. Its description in RNAcentral is "partial 16S ribosomal RNA". It matches the Rfam family "Bacterial small subunit ribosomal RNA", at positions 29 to 507 of the family's 1533-position model. The record is from RNAcentral.